Molecule: ribosomal RNA, 443 nt
Filed under: uncultured bacterium
Lineage: Bacteria
Description: partial 16S ribosomal RNA
Rfam family: Bacterial small subunit ribosomal RNA
Source: RNAcentral
CCUACGGGUGGCAGCAGUGGGGAAUAUUUGGCAAUGGGCGCAAGCCUGACCCAGCAACGCCGCGUGAAGGAAGAAGGCUUUCGGGUUGUAAACUUCUUUUGUCAGGGACGAAGCAAGUGACGGUACCUGACGAAUAAGCCACGGCAAACUACGUGCCAGCAGACGCGGUAAUACGUAGGUGGCAAGCGUUAUCCGGAUUGAUUGGGUGUAAAGGGCGUGGAGGCGGGAAUGCAAGUCAGAUGUGAAAACUAUGGGCUCAACCCAUAGCCUGCAUUUGAAACUGUAUUUCUUGAGUGCUGGAGAGGCAAUCGGAAUUCCGUGUGUAGCGGUGAAAUGCGUAGAUAUACGGAGGAACACCAGUGGCGAAGGCGGAUUGCUGGACAGUAACUGACGCUGAGGCGCGAAAGCGUGGGGAGCAAACAGGAUUAGAUACCCGAGUAGUC